RNAcentral lists this ribosomal RNA (252 nucleotides) under uncultured bacterium. RNAcentral's name for it is "partial 16S ribosomal RNA". It matches the Rfam family "Bacterial small subunit ribosomal RNA", at positions 524 to 776 of the family's 1533-position model. The record is from RNAcentral.
UACAGAGGAUGCAAGCGUUAUCCGGAAUGAUUGGGCGUAAAGCGUCUGUAGGUGGCUUUUUAAGUCCGCCGUCAAAUCCCAGGGCUCAACUCUGGACAGGCGGUGGAAACUACCAAGCUGGAGUACGGUAGGGGCAGAGGGAAUUUCCGGUGGAGCGGUGAAAUGCGUAGAGAUCGGAAGAACACCGGUGGCGAAGGCGGCCUGCUGGGCAGUAGCUGACACUGAGGCGCGACAGCGUGGGGAGCAAACAGG